CGCGUUAUCAGAAAAUGACUUCCAAAACAAAAUCCUGGACGGUGGCCAAGGAAAGAACAUUUCUUCGUGUGUGAUACAAUAACUUGAACAUAAUGUACAGUGCUCUUCUCCUAGUAGGCUAUGAUUUUUUUUUAUAAAUUUUUGUCUACUUUUAUAAAUGAAUAAAUGAAUAAUGCUCAGUCGGAAACAAAAAAUUGAAGCUGAAAAAAGAAAAACGAACUUUCGCUAGAAUAAUAAAUGGAUAAAAAAGGUAUAGUGAACAGGCCUUCGUCGUCUUUGUCUAUAAGAGACGAGAAAAUGUGUCUGGUCGUAUGGAAACGAUGCCAUCUAGACUUGCGUACUAAAUAUGUACCACGGGACGUAUAUCUUAAGCGUCUGGAAGAAACUUUCCAAAUUAAAGGUAUCAAAAUCAGCAGCUCCGAAAUAGAAAAAAAAUGGCGUUAUUUUAAUAUUAAAAAUUGGCGCCUACUAAAGGCUUAUAGAACUUCGAAAAGUUUCAUUGAUAAUAUGUCACCCAUGUUGAAUGAUACGAGCCAUCAGCCUGAUUGUCCACCGACAAAAAAAUGGAGAGCAGUAGACGAAACUAAUGUCAACGCUUUGGAGGAGUCUUUGGAGGAUGCUUCCGUGAGGAUGCUAGGUGAAGCUCCUCAAAAUGAACCUGAGUUGGACAUGUCGAAUCAAAUCGAAGAUUCAAUAGAAGAAAAGACACCAAGUAAUAACCAACGCAGCGACACAAAAUCGAAAUUAAUUUAUGAAUUUACUGAAUUAAUUGGUAAAGAACUUAGUUUGCUAAAGAACGAUUUGCUAAUUGACGCAAAACGUCAAAUUUUCAACGUUAUAUGUGUUAUACAAAUGAAACAAUUGUCACAAUCACAAUAAUAUUUACUAUAAAUGAGCAUAGACAAAUACGUUUUCAUUUUAAUUUAUUUAUUUGCGUUUACGUAAAUUACCUUUCGCAUUUCAACAUUUGUUGUUGUUAUCUUGAUCAUGAAAAUUAAUUGACUUUCUUAAAAAAAAUUGCAAUCGUUAAAAUAUUGCAAAGAAAAAUCGGUAUUCGAUAAUAUUAAUAUAUCGUUAUUGAUUCAACAGCGUUUGUUUUGGAGUAGUGGGUUGUAGAUUUUGGACUACGCGUUAUCAGGAAAGUAAUUUGUUAUUUGUUCAAAACACAAUGCAUAAUAACAAUUACUCAAACAUUUAAUUACUUUCAGUUACUUCCAAAACAAAAUCCUGGACGGCGGCCAAGGAAAGAACAUUUCUUCGUGUGUGAUACAAUAACUUGAACAUAAUGCACAGUGCUCUUCUCCUAGUAGGCUAUGAUUUUUUUUUUUUAUAAAUUUUUGUCUACUUUUAUAAAUGAAUAAAUGAAUAAUGCUCAGUCGGAAACCAAAAAUUGAAGCUGAAAAAAGAAAAACGAACUUUAGCUAGAAUAAUAAAUGGAUAAAAAAGGUAUAGUGAACAGCCCGUCGUCGCAGAGCACUUCGUCGAAUUCAAAUCGGAAGCAACCUUGCUCUCUAAAAGUCGAGAAAAUAUUUAAAUGGCAUGAUCUUAAUCGUAAAUUUCUGACCGCUGAAGCUGAUAGGCAAAAGGCUAAUGGAACUUCGGACAAUACGAGCUAUCAGCCUGAUUGUCCACCAACAAAAAAAUGGAGAGCAUUAUACCAAACUAAUGACAACGCUUUGGAGGAGUCUUUGGAGGAUGCUUCCGUGAGGAUGCUAGGUGAAGCUCCUCAAAAUGAACCUGAGUUGGACAUGUCGAAUCAAAUCGAAGAUUCAAUAGAAGAAAAGACACCAAGUAAUAACCAACGCAGCGACACAAAAUCGAAAUUAAUUUAUGAAUUUACUGAAUUAAUUGGUAAAGAACUUAGUUUGCUAAAGAACGAUUUGCUAAUUGACGCAAAACGUCAAAUUUUCAACGUUAUAUGUUCUAUACAAAUGAAACAAUUGUCACAAUCACAAUAAUAUUUACUAUAAAUGAGCAUAUAUAAAUAAGUUUUCAUUUUAA
Molecule: long non-coding RNA, 2001 nt
Organism: Drosophila nasuta
Lineage: Eukaryota; Metazoa; Arthropoda; Insecta; Diptera; Drosophilidae
Exons: 4
Source: RefSeq, a predicted model, not a curated record